This 238-nucleotide long non-coding RNA is filed under the name Elaeis guineensis (African oil palm). RNAcentral describes it as "long non-coding RNA (EGUI_LNC070924)". Lineage: Eukaryota; Viridiplantae; Streptophyta; Magnoliopsida; Arecales; Arecaceae. The record is from RNAcentral.
CCACUUUAUGGAACUUCAUGCGAUGGAGAGUGUGGAUAGAGUAGUAGUCAGUAUAUUUGAGUAGCUUAUAGUUCUGUCCAUCCAACUCAAUGUCUGCUUCUCUAAAUAUCAGAGUGAAGAUCAUUCCAUAAGGGAGACAAGCCUAACUCUUAGAUUUUUCUACUGCAUUUUUUAUCUACUUGAUUAUAAAGAAGGAUAGAUUUAUAGCAGUGCCCUCAACCAUGUGAAACAUCACACC